This 494-nucleotide ribosomal RNA is filed under the name uncultured bacterium. Its description in RNAcentral is "partial 16S ribosomal RNA". It matches the Rfam family "Bacterial small subunit ribosomal RNA", at positions 28 to 507 of the family's 1533-position model. The record is from RNAcentral.
GACGAACGCUGGCGGCGUGCUUAACACAUGCAAGUCGAACGGUGAAGCGCCUUCCUUUUUGGUUGGUGUGGAUGAGUGGCGAACGGGUGAGUAACACGUGAGUAACCUGCCCCCUUCUUCUGGAUAACCGCAUGAAAGUGUGGCUAAUACGGGAUAUUCUGGGUCUGUCGCAUGAUGGGUCUGGGAAAGAUAUUGUUUCGGUGGGGGAUGGGCUCGCGGCCUAUCAGCUUGUUGGUGGGGUGAUGGCCUACCAAGGCGGUGACGGGUAGCCGGCCUGAGAGGGUGGACGGUCACACUGGGACUGAGACACGGCCCAGACUCCUACGGGAGGCAGCAGUGGGGAAUAGUGCACAAUGGGCGCAAGCCUGAUGCAGCGACGCCGCGUGAGGGAUGGAGGCCUUCGGGUUGUGAACCUCUUUCGCCAGUGAAGCAGGCCUGCCUCGUUUGUGGGUGGGUUGACGGUAGCUGGAUAAGAAGCGCCGGCUAACUACGUG